Molecule: unclassified non-coding RNA, 253 nt
Filed under: uncultured bacterium
Lineage: Bacteria
Description: contains 16S-23S intergenic spacer region
Rfam family: Bacterial small subunit ribosomal RNA
Source: RNAcentral
UACAGAGGGUGCGAGCGUUAAUCGGAUUUACUGGGCGUAAAGCGUGCGUAGGCGGCUUUUGCAGUCGGAUGUGACAUCCCUGAGCUUAUCUUGGGAAUUGCAUUCGAUACUGGGAAGCUAGAGUAUGGGAGAGGAUGGUAGAAUUCCAGGUGUAGAGGUGAAAUGCGUAGAGAUCUGGAGGAAUACCGGUGGCGAAGGCAGACAUCUGGCCUAAUACUGACGCUGAGGUACGAAAGCAUGGGGAGCAAACAGG